Molecule: non-coding RNA, 9829 nt
Organism: Callithrix jacchus (white-tufted-ear marmoset)
Lineage: Eukaryota; Metazoa; Chordata; Mammalia; Primates; Cebidae
Source: RefSeq, a predicted model, not a curated record
CUCACCUCAUCGGAGUUCCGGUAAAACGCGGAGCUCCAGUUUUUCAGCCCCUCCUGGAGCUCCACGAUGUCCACCACGCCGCCCCCUUUGUGGUCCAGGUCUUCGAAGAGGAUCCCGUGGCGGCUCCGUGGGAGUGGAACCCUCUGAGCGACGCCGCUUGGCUCCCUGGCUACAGUUCCCUUUCCACAGGAGUGGACGUUUUUCCUGCCUCCCUGGUGUUCCAGGUGUUGCUGAAGUAAAAACUCUAGCUCAGCGCCUGCCCAAACGGCCUCGGACAGCCACAGACCAGAGCUGCUUCUAGUGUGCCAUCUUGACUCCUCACCACCAAGAAAAGCAAAACAAUCUAGAAGAGGUGAAAGGACAAGAGACAGUUGCUCCCAGAAAUUAAAAAGGAUCAAGAGGAGGUAGAAGACCAAGACCCACCAUGCCCCAGGCUAAGCCAGGAGCUGCCAGAGGUGAAGGAGCAGGAAGUCCCAGAGGACUCUAUGAAUGAAGUUUACUUGACUCCUUCAGUUCACCGUGACCUGUCUGACUGCCACCAGCCUUAUAGCAGCACCUUGUCCCGACUAGAGGAUCAGCUCACAUGCUCUGUUCUGGAUAUAGUUUGUGAGUACUCCAGGCUGAAGGUCACAAAGCUCCACUGUCCUCUCAGGCAGCCUCCAUAUGUUUUGUUUCUGCAACUUGUGCAGCUGAGACAGACCACCAAUGCAGGCAGUCCCUAUACACUGAACCUGUUUUGAAUCUGGCUCUUGGAUCCAGUUUUAAGCACAGACAUCCUGUGGGAGAAACUUCCUCUACUCCUGUCUAAAAUGACUCCUCUGUCACCUUGCUCCUCACAAAAGCAGGCUGUGGGCAUCAAAACAGGCCAGAGAGUGGAGGGGUGAGGGUUUAUUGCAACUCCUUGGCCACAGUAGCUCAUCUGGAGAUAUUUGUAUAACAAACCAUCUUCUGUAAGAUAGGGUAUCUUUCUUUUCUGAAAUUAUGUUGCUAAUUGCAUGCCUUGAAGAGUGCCCUUAUAUAUUCUCUGGCCAUCCACCCAUGCAGGCAGUUUUGCCCAAUUUUGGAGUCCUGUUUCAUGAUUCCUGUGUCUCAUGCUAGAUUCUCUACUUUAGAUAUCCCCAACUCUGGGGCCAUGGACCAUUAUGGGUCAGACAGGUCACGGUGAACUGAAGGAGUCAAGUAAACUUCAUUCAUAGAGUCCUCUGGGACUUCCUGCUCCUUCACUUCUGGCAGCUCCUGGCUCAGGCUGGUGGGUAAAGAAGACAGAAGAUAAACACCAGAGAACCAAAAGCACUGUGCAGGAGGUGAGCGCUGGGAGAGCAUGACUGCCUGAAUGCCACCUCCUGUCAGAUCAGCAGUGGCAUUAGAUUCUCACAGGAGCUCGAACCCUAUUGCGAAUUGUGCAUGUGAGGUAUCUAGGUUGUGCACUAAUCAUGAGAAUCUAAUACCUGAUGAUCUGUCACUGUCUCCCAGUGACUGUCACCCCCAGAUAGGAACACCUAGUUGCAGGAAAACAAGGUUUUUUUUCAGGGCUCUCACUGAUUCUACAUUUUGGUGGGUUGUAUAAUUAUUUUAUUAGAUAUUACAAUGUAAUAAUUAUAGAAAUAAAGUGUGCAAAAUAUGUAAUGUGCUUAAAUCAUCCCCAAACCAUCCCCCCUGUCCUUGUCCCUGAAAAAUUGUCUUCCAUGAAACUGGACCCUGGUGCUAAAAAGGUUGGGAAUUGCGGCUCUACUUGCUCCGAGGUGUCUUCCCUCCACUGAUGCAGUCCAGUGUCCCUUCCUUUAUGCAUGUCCAGGCUUACAUCCUCUGCAGAGCUCCAGUGGUUUUUCCAUGUGUGCAUUGGUAGUUUCAAUCACGUGUUAGCCUCAGUGCUAUAUUCUCAUGAAAACCAUUGACAACUAAUGUUUCUGAUAAGUGCUGGCCUAACUGAUAAGCAAAACAGAGUGAUUUCUGUUCCCAUGAUGUCCAGAAAAUACUCCCUCUGAAAAAGUGCCCCUUGCGGUAGCAACUUCAUGGGAUACAUAGAAAAAAAUCCCAAUCUUCACGUCUUCUUGCUUAUGUUAGUUUUUUAACUUCUGUUCUGGGAGUUUCCUAUGGAUGGUUGGGAGUUUCAUCCAUCAAUUUAUUUUCUAGUAAGGCCAGGUAACUCUGUGAUGUUCCCCAGUAUAUCUGAUUAUGUUAUAAUAAAAUUAACAAUAAUGCCAGGUGCGGUGGCUCAUGCCUGUAAUUCCAGCACUUUGAGAGGCUGAGGCAGGUGGAUUGCUUGAGAUCAGGAGCUUGACACCAGAGUGAGCCACAUGAUAAAAGCCAGUCUCUACAAAAAAUUAGCCGGGUAUGAUGAUACACACUUGUAGUCCCAGCUACUUAAAAGGCUGAGGUAAAAGAAUCACCCAAGCCUGGGAAGUUGAGGCUGCAGUGAGCUGUGAUUACACCACUGCAUUCCAGCCUGAGCAACAAAGCAAGACCCUGUCUCCAAAAAAAAAAAAAGAAAAAGAAAAGAAAAAGUAGCAACAAAAAUGUUGGCCUUUAUCCUAUUUUGUUCAGUAAGUGCAUUUCCUGUUGAGACCAUUCCCUUUCCCCUUUUCCAUUUCUCCAUGAGUUUCAAAGAAGGAAACUCUUUUCUAGAAUCACAGCAAUUCAUUAAUCAGAAAUAAAAUACACAUUGACCUUGCAUCUGCCGUCUGCCCUGCUCCCUGCCAAAGAAGCUCUUUCCUACUAUAAUGCAUUCAGUGCUCAAAGGACACUCCCAAGUGGGCAGUGGUUCUGUGAAAGAGCUGAAGACGCUGAGGCUUGGAAAGUUUCCUUCACUUGUCCAGGAUGCCCCAUGUCUGCCUGACUCCAUGGCCCAGUCACUGUCAUUUCUCUGUGGAGGGACCUGUCAGAGACUGAACCAAGAUGGGUGCUCACCCUUUUUCUUAUUGUUGAAAUUAUUUUGGAAUAAUUUUAACUUGAAACAGAGAAGUUGCUGUUCCGGUAUUAAGAACUGUAGCCACUGGCACAAUUUCUCAAGAAGGAUUACGUCUGUGUACUUUUCUGUGAGCAGAGUCAGUAGUUCCUCCAGUUCCUCCAGGGGGACCUACAUCUCCAGCAGGCUCUCCCUGAUAAAGCACUCAGGGCAUGAAAGGUCCUAGUCCCUAGCCACCUCCUGUCCCCAGGGUUUCGACUCUCAUUUUGGAGAUCUUAAGCCCCUGUAAAGCUGUGGGGCUCCAUCUCAGGAACACCCAAGCCAGGGCAGGCUCCCAUGAGAAUGAAGGGGAAUGUUCAGACAUGUGUCUCAGAAGUGAGAUGCCUGUGAUAUGGGCCAGCCCUGCCAGGGCAUCAUGAAACAUGGGCCAGGAGUGGCUACAUUCAUCCAUGCCAAUGGGUCGAGAUGAAUGAAUGUGCCCUUCAAAUUACACAGGGAUGCAUCCUGUGUGUGGCUUCAUGACAAUAAUGAGUGAAUAGUGUGUCCAGGGGUCUGACAAUAAUGUGUGAAUAGUGUGCACAUUGCACACCUCUGACCCCAGCAGCUGUGUCAAAGGCGAUUUGCUCCACUUAUCCUUUUCCUACAGAGAGAAACUUGGUAGAACCAGGGAGAAUACAACCAAAAUUAUCACUUUCUCCCAUCAAUAGCUUUCCCUCACCUGCCCAAUGAACAAUACUACAUUACUUCAGAAGUUUAAAAAAAUUUUGUCCCAUUAAUCCUGCAAUUGCAAAGAAUAAAAUAAAAGUUUAAAAGAAUCAGCAGUUUAGAAAAGAGGGAUAAAGUGAUAUAAAUUAAGUAGUAAUAAUCAAAAACAUUCCCAGAGCUUGACUUUAAGUAGCAAGUGCAGAGAAUCAGAAAGGGAGAGCAGUUUGCCCAGUCUUCAUCAGCCAGAUUUGUAAUUUCAGGAUGUUUUUCUCUUUUGCCCAAUAUGAACGAUUUUAAAAUGUGAGAGUGUCCUAAGUGGCUGAGGGUUAAUGAUUGCUGAAGUGUGCCCUGUGCAAAUAGGGAGGCCACAGCAGGCCCAGAGAAGAGCUCCUGGGAAAAGACCACAAAGCUGGAUGGCACCUGGUGCAGGGUUGGCCAUGGAGGGGCCAGCAUGACUCCAGGGGAGAAUCUGUUUGAGUGAGUGGUGGGAGGCGAUGCUGGAUAGGAUCGUGGGGCAGAUGUUACAAGGAUCACAGAGGCAGGGUGAGGGGGACAGUCACGUAGUGGGCAGUGGGAAGAAAGUUUUCAGAUGUAGAGUAUCAACAUGGUAAGAACAGGGCUUUGGGGUCAUAAAACUGCUAAGGCAAUUGCUAGAGUGGAGAUGGCAGAAUUGGAGAAAGCAGAGUGCGGGGGGUGUUUGAAACCAAGCAUCAGUGAUGAGAGUCUGAUAUAGUAUGCUCUCAGGAAGAUGAAAGAGAACUAACACAUGGAGGCAUUUUUAAGAAAACUUAGAGAAACCUUGUAGAAAAUGAGGAUGUGGAGAGGGGCUUAAACCAUUAUAGGCAAUGGGAAAUUCAAAACAUCCCAGAACCUUGAAAAGUUUACCACUUUUUGUGUUUUGUCUGCAUAAUCUCAGUCCCCUUUUUCAUGGUUCUUUUUUAAAGCCUCAUGGCUCAAACUCUUGCCCUGUUCUUAUUUCCCUGUGUGUGGAGAACAGCUCCUACUCUCCUAUGCUCUGAGAGCUCUCUAGAACUUUCCCUGUGGGCCACAGGAAGGAGAUAAAUAAUAACAGAAUGAUUGCCAUGACCUUUCUAGACAAUCCAAAGCCCUGUGGGCUGAGAAGGGGUUUUUCACUUCAGGGACAUUCCAGCCUGAGCACCUGCCCUGUCAGCAUCCCCAGGCACAAACAGGAAUGGUGACAUCACCAGCAUUUACAUGAUGUCUAUCUGUGUGGCCCAGGUCACUGGGUGGCUUUACUGAGAGGCAGGGACAUCAGGGAUGGGUGUCCUGGGUGUGCUUAACAAAGGGAAAACUGAGAUUAUUCCUACUGAAGCCUCUUCUCCUUUAGGCUUCCACCCAGGCAGCCUGUGCCCAAAGGAAUUGGAGUGGAGUCUUCAGCCACCACCUGUCAGAGGUGCAGGCUUCACAAGCACAGCUGCAACCAAGAACCCUGGUGCACAAUUGUCUGCAACUACAGCUGGGUCAAGGGUUCAACUGUGGGAAUGGCUUAGUCAGGCGGGGCCUUUCCUCCACCACCUGUGGCUUCAUAGUCAAGAUGAUUCUGGGAACCAAUGGGCCUUCCAAGAUAGGGAAGAAAAGGGGAACAGGAAUGUCUAAUCCAGAUGAUGAUGGUCAUGGUGCUGUGGGUGGAGGAGAGAAUGGGGUCUCUCCUUGCUCCCUCAGGGUCAGGUUGAAAUCCAUGAUUUUCCAACCCAAUGAGGUGAGCAAGAGCCUGGGGCUUAGGAUGUGAUAUGCUCUGAGGUCUUGGGUUUGCCACUUUCUGCUUUUUCACUUUGGCCAAGGUUUUUGUCUUUUUGCUAUUUACAUCUCUGUUCCCUGAUCUGAGAUAUCUGAAAAGUACUAUUUACCUGCCAUCAUUAUUGAGAAUAUUAAUUAUUAUAAUUUUCAAAGGACCUGGUUCCAUAAGAUUGACCAAUAAACCUAUGAAUAGGUGUUAUCUAAUCCUUUUAUCCUUCCACCAAAUUUACACUUAGAAAGUGACUUCACAGUGUUGUUUCAUCUGAGGUAGAGCAAUUGUGAAGAUCUAGGCUUUCUAGAGACCCCUCUUCCUUUCUUUUCUCACACAUACUCCUCUGCCUGUUAUCUUUCUCUUCUUUCCCAUCCCUCAUGAAGCCAAUUUUUGCCUAUCAGGCACUUUCAGUAACAACCUAUGAGGUACGUUCAGUAAUAGUGUAAAUCCUGGGCGCACAGCCAGUCUCCUGACAUGUCCAGCUGCUGCUUCUGCUUUUUCUCUGCUCUUUUUGAAAAUGAAGGGCAACUUCCACAUGGAAAGUGUUCGCAUCAGUGUCUUUUAUGAAACUGCAUUUAGUUCAUCAUCUCCACUCAUGUCCACGGCCAUGUCCUCAGUUUCCAUCUCACAGGGAUCCACUUCUGCUCAGAUUUCCUUAAAACCCUGGGUCGUGUUCAUUCUCACUCUCUGUCCCACUCAAUAUCUCCCCCUGGAGCCCCUGGGGCUGCCUGGUGCUCAUCUGUCAGGAGAUGCCCUCGGCUGAGGAAUGAGGGGACCCUUGUCCUCAGGAGGAGGGAGGGUCAUGUGAGAUAAUGAGCACCAUCUGGGUCCGUGGAGAGGACACACAGAAGGCACUCAGCAGGUAUCGGGGAUACGCAGCACCUGACAUGUGCCGUGAUAUCUUAUUUAAACUGAUUUCUUCCCACCAGAAAAGAAUCUCCUUUGCUUCUCUAUGGAUUCUCACACCCCCAGCCAAGACUCACCCUACUGGCUCAGACACUGUCUCUUGUUCACUUUCCCUGAAGUCCAGAGCAUGAACCAGGCUCUAGGUAAGAGAAAAGGGUGAAUGCCUUUAGUCUCAUUCAUAUUUUUCUUCACCUGGUGACUUCUCCCUGCUGUCUAACAGGUCAUUUGUUGCUCUCCACACCUUUUCUUUCUCAUUCUUCUCAUAUUUGUAAUUUUUUCUUCCAAUAUCAAUGGACCGGAAUAGUCAUUAUCCUGUUACAUCCAAUAUUCCUCUAAUCCCUGUAUAAUAUUUUUUAAUUAGAUUAAUAUAUACAUUUAUAUGCAUUGAUAUUGUUUGUCAUAUAUUAUGUGUAUUUGGCGCGUAGGCUACAUAGGGUGUAUAUAUAUCAAUAGAUCAUAUAUAGUGGUACAAGUUUUGUAAAUUCUCCAGGUUUAGUCUUCUCCAGUUAUUUUCAGUCAUCAGCUGCUGUAACCUCUGUCUGGUCUCACCUCUGUGUCCCAAGGGCUACCACCCUACCAGGCCUUCUGUCCCCAUCUCCUGUUUGAACUCAGCUCUGAUUUAACUUUCACUUUUAUAAUCUCUUCCCUCCCCAAAGCACAGCCUAUAUACAGUGUGAUUUCCUUGCUUUCGCCUUAUCUACCAGAAAGCUAUUUGUGUUUCUUAAAUAUUUUUGUGAAUUGGGAGUGCCUUUACCUCCUGGCAAACUUGUCAUUACUGAGUAAUGUAAGAAAGAUCAACAAAAAAGAAAAUAUUCUAUUGACUUCCUCUUGCCCUUUGGACUUUCUUGUCCAAGGCCACAUUCCUGAUUUGAUGUCCUUUGGGUGGAAGAGAAAGUCACAGUAAGAUCACGGAUGCUGAUGUUUUAUUUUUCAGAGCUAGUUUUAGAGCCCUCCGUUGUGAUGAAGAACCCUCCACAGCUGGAAGGUGAUGCACUUGAAAGCUCAGCAGACAACACACAAGGGUGUCAAAUCAUUGGCCACAUUCAGGCCUCCAGUUGGUCUAGAUAUUGAGAAUAUUUCUAGAAAUGCCUUAAGGUUUAACCAGGUGUGGAAUGAACUUCAGGACAUUAGAGAAAAUAAGUUGGGUCCUGGUUAUGGUCCUCGCUCUGUCUUUGCUAACACCAUUUUGAGCCUCUUUUUUAAAAAAAUUUUCUUUCUUUCUUUCCUAAUGCCCUUUGGAGGAAUACUUUUAUUUGUUUUUUUCUUUAUUUUUUAUUUUUAACCAACCAAACAAGCAGCAGUGACAUUAUAUUUCUUUGUAAAACUUAUUUCUAUCCUAGACAAGAUAACCCAACAGCUUCUUGUGACUGUUGAGACCUCCAGAUUGAAGCCUUUCCUCUCACUUCCUCCAGUCUUUAUUGAAAGGGCCUUAGUUUGUGGGUACUAUUUCCUGGGCUGUCAAUAGCAAGUUCUGUGGCCUUAUUUCAGUCUUACUCCAGUGGCAUCACUACUCCUUGGUUUUAAAAGGUGGAAGUGGACGUGGAUGUUGUCUGAGGUUCCUGCUGCUUCUUAUAUCCAGAGUUCUUCCCAUGGCACUCCCUCUCCUGCCUAGAAGACUGGGACAGGGAGUUGUAAGGUGAUACCUAAUACUGCUGUAAGGAUGGAAAGGAUGAAAGGAUGUCACAUAAAAAAGUAGCUUUUCCCCUUGAUGAAAAAACUAAAGCAGCAUAGUAAGUUCAAGUUUAAACACAACGACACUGCAGGGAUCCUUCGCUGAGGAUUGAAUUUUAGACCACGGAAUGCUCUUGAUGAUUUCAGUCGACUAGGCUUCUUUGAUCUGAGAAGCCACAGUCCAUCCCCCUCCAAUUGUGAUGAAUACCUAAGGAGAUCAAUUCCCAGAUGGACAAACAGCAUUGACAGGCCUUAGCCCAGAUUCUUGAGGAAUCACAUCCGGAAUUUCAUAUCCAGCCAAACUAAGCUUCAAAAGUAAAGGAGAAAUAAAAUCAUUUGCGGACAAGAAAUUCUUGAGAGACUUUGUCACCCCAGGCCUGCCUUACAAGAGCUCCUGAAGGAAGCACUAAACAUGGAAAGGAACAACCAGAACCAGCACUGCAAAAAUGUACCAAAUGGUAAAGACCAUUGACACAAUGAAGAAACUGCGUCAACUAACAAGCAAAACAACCAACUAGUAUCCAAAUGGCAGGAUCAAAUUCACCCAUAAUGAUAUUAACCUUAAAUGUUGCUAUUUAAUUUAACUUUCAAUGUUAAUAUUUUGAUGGGGCUAAUUGCUCCAAUCAAAAGACAGACUGACAAAUUGGAUAAAGAGUCAAGACCCAUCAGUGUGCUAUAUUCAGGAGACCCAUCACAUGUGUAAAGACACACAUAGACUCAAAAUAAAGGAAUGGAGGAAGAUUUACCAAGCAAAUGGAGAACAAAAAAAAGCAGGAGUUGCAAUCCUAAUCUCCAAUAAAAUGAACUUUAAACCAAUAAAAAUCAAAAGAGACAAAGAAGGGCAUUACAUAAUGGUAAAGGGAUCAAUGCAACAAGAAGAGCUAACUAUUCUAAAUAUAUAUGUACCCAAUAUAGAGGCACCCAGAUACAUAAAUCAAGUUCUUAAUGACCUGCAAAGAGACUUAGGCUCCCACACAAUAAUACUGGGAGACUUUAACAAUCCACUGUCAAUAUUAGACAGAUCAACGAGACAGAAAAUGAACAAGGAUAUCCAGGACUUGAACUCAGGUCUGGACCAAGUGGACCUAAUAGACAUCUACAGAACUCUCCACCCCAAAUCUACAGAAUAUUCAUUCUUCUCAGCACCACAUUGCACUUACUCUAAAAUUGACCACAUAAUUGGAAGUAAAUCAGUCCUCAGCAAAUGCAAAAGAAUGGAAAUCAUAACAACCAGUCUCUCAGACCACAGUGCAAUCAAAUUAGAACUCAGGAUUAAGAAACUCACUGGAAACUGCCCAGCUACAUGGAAACUGAACAACCUGCUCCUGAAUGACUACUGGAUAAAUAAUGAAAUGAAGUCAGAAAUAGAGAUGUUCAUCAAAGCCAAUGAGAAUGAAGACACAACAUACCAGAAUCUCUGGGACACAUUUAAAGCAGUGUCUAGAAAGGAAUUUAUAGCACAAAAUGCCCACAUGAGAAAUAAGGAAAGAUCUAAAAUCAACACCCUAAUAGCCACAAUUAAAAGAACUAGAUGAGCAAGGUCAAACAAAUUCAAAAGCUAGCAGAAGGCAAGAAAUAACUAAGAUCAGAGCAGAACUGAAGGAGAUAGAGACACAAAAAACCCUUCAAAAAAAUCAAUGAAUCCUGGACAUUUUCUUUCUCAAAAUUUUACUAUAUACUUAUUUUUGCUGGCAUUCUUUGUAACAAAGAAUAUCCCUGCCCAAAUUUUAAUGUUUAACCAAAAUUAAUUUUACUUUGUUUUUGCUGGCGUUCUAUUGUGAAAAACACUAUUCCCUGCCCCAAUCUUAACUUUCAUCCAAAAUUAAUUUUAGUCCAUUCGUUAAAAUGUGUAAGUUUUUAAAUCUGUUUAAUUAAAAGGUUUUUUUUGCCUA